This 224-nucleotide unclassified non-coding RNA is filed under the name Hevea brasiliensis (rubber tree). Lineage: Eukaryota; Viridiplantae; Streptophyta; Magnoliopsida; Malpighiales; Euphorbiaceae. The record is from RNAcentral.
CUUGCAGUUCCUUGGUUCAAUGUAUUCCCUAAAUAAAGAAUCUUCUUCAUAAUUUCCUUCAACUUGAGGGAAUUCCGAACCUCGUCACAAGCAGAGUUUACUGUGUUUAAGCUCUUUUUAAAUUCUGUUAUCUGAGAGCCGAACUGAAUCUUGAAAGAAAAUACUCUCAUUUUUGACUCAACACGAGGCACUUUCAUCAGCUCCAGAAAAUACUGUUCACACUU